This 149-nucleotide ribosomal RNA is filed under the name uncultured bacterium. RNAcentral describes it as "partial 16S ribosomal RNA". The record is from RNAcentral.
CGUAGGUACAUACAAAGGAGUAUACAUACUCCACUUUAUUCCCUUAUAAAAGAAGUUUACAACCCAUAGGGCAGUCAUCCUUCACGCUACUUGGCUGGUUCAGGCUCUCGCCCAUUGACCAAUAUUCCUCACUGCUGCCUCCCGUAGGA